This 833-nucleotide ribosomal RNA is filed under the name Cellulosimicrobium sp. VTT E-073071. Its description in RNAcentral is "bacterial SSU rRNA". It matches the Rfam family "Bacterial small subunit ribosomal RNA", at positions 36 to 881 of the family's 1533-position model. The record is from RNAcentral. Lineage: Bacteria; Bacillati; Actinomycetota; Actinomycetes; Micrococcales; Promicromonosporaceae.
CUGGCGGCGUGCUUAACACAUGCAAGUCGAACGAUGAUGCCCAGCUUGCUGGGCGGAUUAGUGGCGAACGGGUGAGUAACACGUGAGUAACCUGCCCUUGACUUCGGGAUAACUCCGGGAAACCGGGGCUAAUACCGGAUAUGAGCCGUCCUCGCAUGGGGGUGGUUGGAAAGUUUUUCGGUCAGGGAUGGGCUCGCGGCCUAUCAGCUUGUUGGUGGGGUGAUGGCCUACCAAGGCGACGACGGGUAGCCGGCCUGAGAGGGCGACCGGCCACACUGGGACUGAGACACGGCCCAGACUCCUACGGGAGGCAGCAGUGGGGAAUAUUGCACAAUGGGCGAAAGCCUGAUGCAGCGACGCCGCGUGAGGGAUGAAGGCCUUCGGGUUGUAAACCUCUUUCAGCAGGGAAGAAGCGCAAGUGACGGUACCUGCAGAAGAAGCGCCGGCUAACUACGUGCCAGCAGCCGCGGUAAUACGUAGGGCGCAAGCGUUGUCCGGAAUUAUUGGGCGUAAAGAGCUCGUAGGCGGUUUGUCGCGUCUGGUGUGAAAACUCGAGGCUCAACCUCGAGCUUGCAUCGGGUACGGGCAGACUAGAGUGCGGUAGGGGAGACUGGAAUUCCUGGUGUAGCGGUGGAAUGCGCAGAUAUCAGGAGGAACACCGAUGGCGAAGGCAGGUCUCUGGGCCGCAACUGACGCUGAGGAGCGAAAGCAUGGGGAGCGAACAGGAUUAGAUACCCUGGUAGUCCAUGCCGUAAACGUUGGGCACUAGGUGUGGGGCUCAUUCCACGAGUUCCGUGCCGCAGCAAACGCAUUAAGUGCCCCGCCUGGGGAGU